Molecule: ribosomal RNA, 256 nt
Filed under: uncultured bacterium
Lineage: Bacteria
Description: partial 16S ribosomal RNA
Rfam family: Bacterial small subunit ribosomal RNA
Source: RNAcentral
UGGCGGACGGGUGAGUAAUGUCUGGGAAACUGCCUGAUGGAGGGGGAUAACUACUGGAAACGGUAGCUAAUACCGCAUAACGUCGCAAGACCAAAGAGGGGGACCUUCGGGCCUCUUGCCAUCGGAUGUGCCCAGAUGGGAUUAGCUAGUAGGNGGGGUAACGGCUCACCUAGGCGACGAUCCCUAGCUGGUCUGAGAGGAUGACCAGCCACACUGGAACUGAGACACGGUCCAGACUCCUACGGGAGGCAGCAUG